Molecule: unclassified non-coding RNA, 2577 nt
Filed under: Daphnia pulex (common water flea)
Lineage: Eukaryota; Metazoa; Arthropoda; Branchiopoda; Diplostraca; Daphniidae
Description: uncharacterized LOC124200918, transcript variant X4
Source: RNAcentral
CGUUCUAGUGUCGCGUUCUAGUGUCGCUUUGGAAAAGUUCUUGUAGUAAUCCGUCCCAAUGUCGCUAUGCCAGUAUAUAAAAGCUCUCAGUCGCCAUCUAUGAUCAGUUUCAUUGACAACGUCAUUCGUCAUUCUAUUUUAAAGUUAUCGUGUGGUCCUGUGGGGCAUCAGAUUUUACAGUCAUCUGUCAUACUUUACAGUCAUCAUACUAGUCCAUCGGCUUGUCUCUUGAGGCAGGCUAGCUUAUCGCCCGAACCAGAAGAUGGUGACAAGGAUGUCGAUGUUGAUCUCUAUCAAGCCGCUGUUCUGAUUUUGGCUCAUUUGGAUCGAUUAGCAUCUCCAUUUAUUCAAACAUUCAAAUCGGAUCGCGUAGUUAUGGAAAAUACUUUAAUUCGAUUGGAUUUGAGCGCCGCUACGGUGGACCCGGGUGGACCGUUUCACAGUAGUCCAGAAACUUCCAAUAACGAUAGAUCAAGUUGUCUGCACAGCCCUUGGUCUCCUGUUUCUUUCCGGCGAUGGCAAAGUUUUCAAAGGAUUUUGAGUCACGGAGAUCAAGUGGGCAUUGAUGUUGGGCAUCACGGCUGCUCCUUACCUGUGUUGCAGCGUUUGAAGAACCACGUUAUUGCUCUUGCAGGGGAAAUCCAAAUCUGGGUGCCGUACAAGAUACAGCUCAAGCUUUUCUCCAAUUGGCUUGGAGUCUUCUUUUGCCUACUGCUUCAGAAAGAGCUUCAGCAUUGCCCACACUUUUGCAAAGAGACGACGAAUAUGAUAGUUGUGGUGGACGUUUCAUGGCCGAUUUAUUGGUGAUUUCCAUGAUGGCGGACGGAGGGUUACAAGCAGCUUUCGAAGCUUCGUUGCUAGCUGAAGCAAAUGAUCUUGAGAUAAACGGCCGAUGCAAUAACGACGCGGUAUUGAGAAUAGGGGAUGGCGCAAAAAAAUAAAAAAAAUAAUAAAACAUACUAUAAAUAAGAGAAAAAAAAAAAAAAUAUCUCCCAAUCAUACUAUAGCUGGGAAAAAUUUACUUUUCGAGUUAUUCACGUUGAAAGUUUCGACUACGUGGCCCACCUCUAAAACGCAGGAGGUGGCCUAUUUAUCACGUGAUUCUUGGUGCAUUACCGCUGGUCAGUUUUAACCAAUGAGAAUAGAUCACGUGAUCGGGGGAACCAAUAGAAGCGGGGAACAUCUGUCAUUUCGUCUGUGUCCGCAAGGUGUCGCGUCAAGCUUGUAGCAAUCUAGUUUUUUUACCGCCAUGUGGUAAAAGAAUGAAAAGUUGUUUUCAGGGAUACGCAUUCUAUUGGCUGUUGCCGGUCACGUGAUCUGCUCCCAUUGUAAAAACUGACCAGAGCUAAGCUAAAACUGGCAGAGCCAGGGAGUCGAAACUUUAAACGUGAAUAACUCGUAAAGUAAAUUUUUCCCAGCUAUAGUUUGAUUGGGAGAUAUUUUUUAUUUAUUUUUUCUCUUAUUUUUAAUAUGUUUUAUUAUUUUUUUUAAUUUUUUGCGCCAUCCCCUAUUCAGACAGCAUGGAGCCGGAGGAAACCGUUUACUUUCUAAAAUUCUAAAAAAUGAAACCAUAACCUUUCGGCAUCCGAUAAUGGCUUAUGCGGUGGCUACUCAAGCUGAAGAUUGACGUAAAGGUCUGAAAUUACAAAAAAAAUUAUAAUUGAAAUAUGUAAGAGUGGAUGAUUAAAUAGUUACCUUCCCACAAUAAUCACAUGCGAGAAUGGGUGAGUUGGGACAAACUUCAACGCUGGAACUAGGAAUUCUAAAGAAUAAUCCGUCCCAAUGUCGCUAUGCCAGUAUAUAAAAGCUCUCAGUCGCCAUCUAUGAUCAGUUUCAUUGACAACGUCAUUCGUCAUUCUAUUUUAAAGUUAUCGUGUGGUCCUGUGGGGCAUCAGAUUUUACAGUCAUCUGUCAUACUUUACAGUCAUCAUACUAGUCCAUCGGCUUGUCUCUUGAGGCAGGCUAGCUUAUCGCCCGAACCAGAAGAUGGUGACAAGGAUGUCGAUGUUGAUCUCUAUCAAGCCGCUGUUCUGAUUUUGGCUCAUUUGGAUCGAUUAGCAUCUCCAUUUAUUCAAACAUUCAAAUCGGAUCGCGUAGUUAUGGAAAAUACUUUAAUUCGAUUGGAUUUGAGCGCCGCUACGGUGGACCCGGGUGGACCGUUUCACAGUAGUCCAGAAACUUCCAAUAACGAUAGAUCAAGUUGUCUGCACAGCCCUUGGUCUCCUGUUUCUUUCCGGCGAUGGCAAAGUGUACACAAUCAGCUAUAACGAUCAAGAACCGGGGAAAUCCAAAUCUGGGUGCCGUACAAGAUACAGCUCAAGCUUUUCUCCAAUUGGCUUGGAGUCUUCUUUUGCCUACUGCUUCAGAAAGAGCUUCAGCAUUGCCCACACUUUUGCAAAGAGACGACGAAUAUGAUAGUUGUGGUGGACGUUUCAUGGCCGAUUUAUUGGUGAUUUCCAUGAUGGCGGACGGAGGGUUACAAGCAGCUUUCGAAGCUUCGUUGCUAGCUGAAGCAAAUGAUCUUGAGAUAAACGGCCGAUGCAAUAACGACGCGGUAUUGAGAAUAGGGGAUGGUGC